Molecule: microRNA precursor, 69 nt
Filed under: Bombyx mori (domestic silkworm)
Lineage: Eukaryota; Metazoa; Arthropoda; Insecta; Lepidoptera; Bombycidae
Description: mir-2774 microRNA precursor family
Rfam family: mir-2774 microRNA precursor family
Source: Rfam by way of RNAcentral
AUAGUAUAAAGACCGUCGGUCUACCGAGCAAUAUUUAACCAGUUCGGUAGAUGACCUUCCCUUUAUCGU